This is a long non-coding RNA of Mauremys mutica (yellowpond turtle), 569 nucleotides long. RefSeq lists it as uncharacterized. The record is from RefSeq and is a predicted model, not a curated record. NCBI's taxonomy places the organism in Eukaryota, Metazoa, Chordata, Testudines, Geoemydidae. The transcript has 3 exons.
CCCCGGUGCAAAUUCCGCGCUGCCCAGGCAGGCACCCCCAGGAGGGUGAUGCUGCUGCUCCAGGCCAGCCUUAGGCUGAGGUCCCCCAGGGGUCGUGACAUGGCAAGUUCUCGUCUGUUAACAGCCAGCAGAGGCUACUUCCAGAGAUGAACCUGAUGCUUCAAGUCACCUUCCUCGGUCUCCUGUCCCUGCCGGUGCAGGGCUGGGUUCAGAGCAGAUCCCUGCAGAGUGAGAGAUGGAGCCAGCUGGACCUGCCGCAGAACAGAGAGCUGUUCCUAAGUGCCCUGCAGAGCUACUUCAGCAGCAGAGGGAUCCACAUAGAGAAGGCUGCGCCGGCCUUUGUGCUGUCCACGAGGAAUCGCCACCAGGGGGACCAGGAAGGACGAGAGCUGCUGGCCCCCGAGAAGGGGGCAGAUGACUAGGAAGAGCUGAUGGCAGGUGGAGUCCUGGCAAUACGAUCUCUUCUGCCUCUGAGUACUUCACAGUGAUGCACUGACUCUCUCCUGCCGUUGUGCCGCUACAUGCACACACACGCGCGCGCACACACACACACACACACACACACACAC